This 253-nucleotide ribosomal RNA is filed under the name uncultured bacterium. Its description in RNAcentral is "partial 16S ribosomal RNA". It matches the Rfam family "Bacterial small subunit ribosomal RNA", at positions 524 to 776 of the family's 1533-position model. The record is from RNAcentral.
UACGUAGGGGGCAAGCGUUAUCCGGAUUUACUGGGUGUAAAGGGAGCGUAGACGGCAGGGCAAGUCUGGAGUGAAAGCCCGGGGCCCAACCCCGGGACUGCUUUGGAAACUGCCAUGCUGGAGUGCUGGAGAGGUAAGCGGAAUUCCUAGUGUAGCGGUGAAAUGCGUAGAUAUUAGGAGGAACACCAGUGGCGAAGGCGGCUUACUGAACAGUAACUGACGUUGAGGCUCGAAAGCGUGGGGAGCAAACAGG